UGAGGAAUAUUGGGCAAUGCCCGCAAGGGUGACCCAGCAACGCCGCGUGGAGGAUGAAUGUCGUAAGAUUGUAAACUCCCGUUAGAGGGGAAGAAUAGUACCGGUUGGACCGGUAUAUGACUGUACCCUCAGAGAAAGCCCCGGCUAACUACGUGCCAGCAGCCGCGGUAAUACGUAGGGGGCAAGCGUUGUCCGGAUUUACUGGGUGUAAAGGGCGCGCAGGCGGGAUAAAAAGUCAGUGGUGAAAUCCUACAGCUUAACUGUAGAACUGCCUUUGAUACUUUUAUUCUUGAGUUCGGGAGAGAGAGACGGAAUUCCAGGUGUAGUGGUGAAAUACGUAGGUAUCUGGAAGAACACCAGUUGCGAAGGCGGUCUCUUGGUCCGACACUGACGCUGAGGCGCGAAAGCGUGGGGAGCAAACA
This 422-nucleotide ribosomal RNA is filed under the name uncultured bacterium. RNAcentral's name for it is "bacterial SSU rRNA". It matches the Rfam family "Bacterial small subunit ribosomal RNA", at positions 355 to 774 of the family's 1533-position model. The record is from RNAcentral.